GCUGGUGUGGAACGGGGAGCCACUCUGAGUUCACUCGGAAUAUUUGAUGCGAGUGAACACAGCUGGUGGUAUCUCAGUUGCAUGUCAGACA
Molecule: non-coding RNA, 91 nt
Organism: Zootermopsis nevadensis
Lineage: Eukaryota; Metazoa; Arthropoda; Insecta; Blattodea; Termopsidae
Source: Rfam